AGGGCACCACCAGGAGUGGAGCCUGCGGCUUAAUUUGACUCAACACGGGAAAACUCACCCGGCCCGGACACCGUAAGGAUUGACAGACUGAGAGCUCUUUCUUAAUUCGGUGGGCGGUGGUGCAUGGCCGUUCUUAGUUGGUGGAGCGAUUUGUCUGGUUAAUUCCGAUAACGAACGAGACUCUGGCCUAUUAAAUAGUCGGUAUAUCCAGAAAAGUUUACCGUACUUCUUAGAGGGACAAACGGCGUCUAGCCGCGUGAAAUAGAGCAAUAACAGGUCUGUGAUGCCCUUAGAUGUCCGGGGCUGCACGCGCGCUACACUGAAAGAAUCAGUAUGCGCUUUAACCUAGUCCGGAAGGAUUGGGUAACCCGAGCAAAUUCUUUCGUGCUUGGGAUAGGGAAUUGCAAUUAUUUCCCUUAAACGAGGAAUUCCCAGUAAAUGCGGGUCAUAAGCUCGCGUUGAUUACGUCCCUGCCCUUUGUACACACCGCCCGUCGCUACUACCGAUUGGAUGACUUAG
RNAcentral lists this ribosomal RNA (519 nucleotides) under uncultured eukaryote. RNAcentral describes it as "SSU rRNA". It matches the Rfam family "Eukaryotic small subunit ribosomal RNA", at positions 1161 to 1701 of the family's 1831-position model. The record is from RNAcentral.